RNAcentral lists this ribosomal RNA (300 nucleotides) under Triticum aestivum (bread wheat). RNAcentral's name for it is "partial small subunit ribosomal RNA". Lineage: Eukaryota; Viridiplantae; Streptophyta; Magnoliopsida; Poales; Poaceae. The record is from RNAcentral.
AUGCAUUUCUGCCUACAAUUAGUGCACAACUUCAAGCCUUUGUUUGCUGCUACAUAUGGAAAUACUACUUUUAACAUAGGAAAUUUCGAGUCGAGAUUUGUACCAGCUCUGAAGGUCAAUUUCAGGCGCCUUCUCUAUCUUUUUUGGAACUCUCCCAUGUGCUUUUAUAUGAGUGAUGAACAACUUCUUUGUUCUAUACUCUCAAUAAAAGAUAGAAAGUGUUUUGAAUUGACUGGAAUUUCCAUGUCUUUCUUUUUUUGUACAGGCAUGACUCAUGAAUUUUCCUUCUCAGUAUCUUAG